ACAGAGAAAGCGGAAGUUCUGGGGUAACUUGAAAGGAGGCCUGAGAAUUUGUAAAGACCUUGUUUAGCCUCCUCCCGAGGAUCAGGAGAGAUGCUUAGUUGUUAAGAUCAAUGGCUGCUCUUCCGGAGGAUGAGGUUCAAUUCUCAGCUACCCACAUGGUAGCUCUCAACCAUGUGUAGCUCUAGUUCCAGUGACCUGAAAACCUCUCCUAGCCUCCUGAAAACGGAAGCUGCAAGGUUUUCAAGGCUAACAAGAAUAUUGUUAAAGUGGAUAAAUGAGAGACGCGGGUUUACAGAGCUCGUCCCUCCCACAAAAUGCGUAAGUGCAGAACACAAGCACUGAGAAAUGGCUGGCAGCUCAUUCAUCUGUAACAUGCAUGGGUGCAGGCUGUGGAGUUCUAUAUAGACAGAUCACAUACGCUAGCAAACGAAGCUAUCUACAGAAGCGGAAACUUCAUAUUUCCGUCUAAAACAAGAAGCUCUUAUCACAACUUUCAGAUGUGAAACGUAAUCAUAUAUGCAACACGCAAAGCUUCACUGGAGAGAGGAGCCCUGACGUGACUUCCUAGAGGACUAAAGAAGAAAACGGUGGAUCAUACACUAGAGAGACGGGUAUACAUGAGGCAGAAGGAGCGAUUGAAGCUGGAGUGAACGGUCGCUUGAACGGUCACUUGAGACCUCAUUGUGACAGCGGGACAGUCAGUACGUUUAAGGAAGACCACUGGUAAUGAUCAAAUGUUCUACGUUUUCACGUCCUGCCUUCAUCUGUGUCCCCGUCUCUUCCCUUGCUGCUUCUCUCCUGAAACUCCCAACCACAUGGGCGCAUGCGUGCGCAGCCACUGCAAGCCUAGUCUUUCCCUUCUAUUUAGUUCCAGUGUUUCCCACACACAGGAGUUUUAGGAAUCCAAUAUACUUUUAUUAGAACAAAUGGAUAUUUUAAAUGUAUUUAUCACUAUAUAUAAUUACUAUAUAUAUGUAUGUGUGUGUAUAUAUAUACAUAUUUAUAUAUAUAUAAUGUAUGUGUAAGUGUAUACACACCACACACACACACACACACACACACACACACACACACACACACACAUAUAUAUAUAUAAUUCACAGUGGAAAUUUAUUUAGUUAUGGGUUAAGCACUAACUUGGUUUCCAUGACAGCGGAGAUACAAGACAGUGCCAUAUUGUGUCAGUCAUUUUUAUGGUCACUUAAGGAGGAGCGGUUGGGAUCAAAGACUCUUUUCAAACCUGAUGGCAGUAAUGCUUCAUUCCAGGAUUAAACACUGUUUACUCAAUUCAGUUGAACCAAAAAAAGAAAAAAACAUAUUAAGGAAGAUAUCCCACUAGACUGAUGUUUUAAUCCUAGGAUACCUUUUUAACUCUUUAACAUCUAUCCAUUUAUUCUUAUUAAAGCCCUAAACAAAAAACCCAAGACUCCAA
Rattus norvegicus (Norway rat) is the source of this 1432-nucleotide non-coding RNA. NCBI's taxonomy places the organism in Eukaryota, Metazoa, Chordata, Mammalia, Rodentia, Muridae. The record is from RefSeq and is a predicted model, not a curated record.